GCCCUGUAUUCACACACACACACAUAAGUUUGGCUCUGUGUGUGUGUUUGGGUGUGGUCAUGCAUGCCUGUAUUGUACCUGUGUAUACGUGUGUAUGUAUGUAUCAUUUUUUGUGUGUGUGUUUGUGGACGUGUAUGUGUAUAUUAGCCGUAUAUCCAUGGGUAGAACACAUCUACAUGUGAUGUGUAAAGCGACCAUGAAAGGACAGUGGCCCUAUUUCAUUAAAACAGACAGCUGAUUUGCUAAUGUGUUGUGGAUGUGUGAUCAGGGUGUGGAUGGGUGUUGUGCAUGUGUGAUCAGUGUGUUGGAAGGGUGUUGUGGAUGUGUGAUCAGUGUGUUGGAAGGGUGUUGUGGAUGUGUGAUCAGUGUGUUGGAUGGGUGUUGUGGAUGUGUGAUCAGUGUGUUGGAUGGGUGUUGUGGAUGUGUGAUCAGUGUGUUGGAAGGGUGUUGUGGAUGUGUGAUCAGUGUGUUGGAUGGGUGUUGUGGAUGUGUGAUCAGUGUGUUGGAUGGGUGUUGUGGGUGUGUGAUCAGUGUGUUGGAUGGGUGUUGUGGAUGUGUGAUCAGGGUGUGGAUGGGUGUUGUGGAUGUGUGAUCAGGAUUUGGAUGGGUGUUGUGGGUGUGUGAUCAGUGUGUUGGAUGGGUGUUGUGGGUGUGUGAUCAGGGUGUGGAUGGGUGUUGUGGAUGUGUGAUCAGGGUGUGGAUGGGUGUUGUGGGUGUGUGAUCAGUGUGUUGGAUGGGUGUUGUGGAUGUGUGAUCAGUGUGUUGGAAGGGUGUUGUGGAUGUGUGAUCAGUGUGUUGGAUGGGUGUUGUGGAUGUGUGAUCAGGGUGUGGAUGGGUGUUGUGGAUGUGUGAUCAGUGUGUUGGAUGGGUGUUGUGGGUGUGUGAUCAGGGUGUGGAUGGGUGUUGUGGAUGUGUGAUCAUGUGUUGGAUGGGUGUUGUGGGUGUGUGAUCAGGGUGUGGAUGGGUGUUGUGGGUGUGUGAUCAGGGUGUGGAUGGGUGUUGUGGGUGUGUGAUCAGUG
Molecule: long non-coding RNA, 1019 nt
Organism: Esox lucius (northern pike)
Lineage: Eukaryota; Metazoa; Chordata; Actinopteri; Esociformes; Esocidae
Source: Ensembl